GAUGAACGCUAGCGGCAGGCCUAAUACAUGCAAGUCGAGGGGUAUGCGGGAGCUUGCUUCCGCGGAGACCGGCGCACGGGUGCGUAACGCGUAUGCAACCUGCCCAUGUCAGGGGGAUAGCCCGGAGAAAUCCGGAUUAACACCGCAUGACGACACUGUGCGGCAUCGCACGGUGUCCAAAUAUUCAUAGGACAUGGAUGGGCAUGCGUGCCAUUAGCUUGUUGGCGGGGUAACGGCCCACCAAGGCGACGAUGGCUAGGGGAUCUGAGAGGAUGGCCCCCCACACUGGUACUGAGACACGGACCAGACUCCUACGGGAGGCAGCAGUAAGGAAUAUUGGUCAAUGGGGGCAACCCUGAACCAGCCAUGCCGCGUGCAGGAAGAAGGCCCUACGGGUCGUAAACUGCUUUUGCACGGGAACAAACCCCUUCCUGCGGGGAGGGCUGAGGGUACCGUGAGAAUAAGGAUCGGCUAACUCCGUGCCAGCAGCCGCGGUAAUACGGAGGAUCCGAGCGUUAUCCGGAUUUAUUGGGUUUAAAGGGAGCGUAGGCGGCCCUCUAAGUCAGGGGUGAAAGACAGCGGCCCAACCGUUGCAGUGCCCUUGAUACUGGGGGGCUUGAAUGCACCUGAGGUAGGCGGAAUGUGGCAAGUAGCGGUGAAAAUGCAUAGAUAUGCCACAGAACACCGAUUUGCGGAGGCAGCUUACCAAAGUGCGAUUGACGCUGAGGCUCGAAAAGCGUGGGGAUCGAACAGGAUUAGAUACCCUGGUAGUCCACGCCCUAAACGAUGACAACUCGGUAUCGGCGAUAUACUGCCGGCGCCCAAGCGAAGCGUUAAGUUGUCCACCUGGGGAGUACGCCCGCAAGGGUGAAACUCAAAGGAAUUGACGGGGGCCCGCACAAGCGGAGGAGCAUGUGGUUUAAUUCGAUGAUACGCGAGGAACCUUACCCGGGCUUGAAAGUUACUGAAUGGGCUAGAGAUAGCCCAGUCCCUCGGGACAGGAAACUAGGUGCUGCAUGGCUGUCGUCAGCUCGUGCCGUGAGGUGUUGGGUUAAGUCCCGCAACGAGCGCAACCCCUAUGUCCAGUUGCCAGCAUGUAGUGAUGGGGACUCUGGACAGACUGCCUGCGCAAGCAGCGAGGAAGGCGGGGACGACGUCAAGUCAUCAUGGCCCUUACGUCCGGGGCUACACACGUGCUACAAUGGGCGGUACAGAGGGCAGCCACCCCGCGAGGGGGCGCCAAUCCCUUAAAGCCGCUCACAGUUCGGAUCGGGGCCUGCAACUCGGCCCCGUGAAGCUGGAUUCGCUAGUAAUCGCGUAUCAGCAAUGACGCGGUGAAUACGUUCCCGGGCCUUGUACACACCGCCCGUC
RNAcentral lists this ribosomal RNA (1371 nucleotides) under uncultured bacterium. RNAcentral describes it as "bacterial SSU rRNA". It matches the Rfam family "Bacterial small subunit ribosomal RNA", at positions 28 to 1398 of the family's 1533-position model. The record is from RNAcentral.